RNAcentral lists this ribosomal RNA (253 nucleotides) under uncultured bacterium. RNAcentral's name for it is "partial 16S ribosomal RNA". It matches the Rfam family "Bacterial small subunit ribosomal RNA", at positions 524 to 776 of the family's 1533-position model. The record is from RNAcentral.
UACGAAGGUCCCGAGCGUUAUCCGGAUUUAUUGGGUUUAAAGGGUGCGUAGGCGGGUUAUUAAGUCAGUGGUGAAAGCCUUCAGCUUAACUGAAGAACUGCCAUUGAUACUGAUGAUCUUGAGUAUGAUUGAGGUGGGCGGAAUGUGUCAUGUAGCGGUGAAAUGCUUAGAUAUGACACAGAACACCGAUUGCGAAGGCAGCUCACUAAGUCAUAACUGACGCUGAUGCACGAAAGCGUGGGGAGCAAACAGG